RNAcentral lists this long non-coding RNA (1005 nucleotides) under Mustela putorius furo (domestic ferret). RNAcentral's name for it is "lncRNA (ENSMPUG00000028025.1)". Lineage: Eukaryota; Metazoa; Chordata; Mammalia; Carnivora; Mustelidae. The record is from RNAcentral.
ACUCUGUUCCCAGGUCCUUUGACUAGAGGAAACUUUGACUUCCUGCUUGCCAAACCACUUCCCCUCUCUCCCUCUAUGAACAUUCUCCCUACCCUCCAGCCUCCUCCCUCUAGGAAAGGCAUCUUGGUUUCCUAGCAUUUCACUUCUCUAAUACAACCACUAACCUCUGCCUGAGUGACUCCUGGGUCCUGAGCCAAGCAGAACUGAAACUUGGACAACCAGCCGGCUGUCCCCCCAAAAGUGGAGACCCCCUGAUGCUCAGAGUAAAGAAGAUGCAGAACAGAAAGAGAAAAUAGAGUUCAGUUCAAUCCGUAUGUUUCCAUGCUCUACAGAUGCCCAUGCUAACGGUGGAGGCAAUUACAAGCCACAGAGCACAGACAGGGAGGAGAGGGAGAAGCAUGUUCCCCAUGAGCAUGGACCAUGAGGCGGGGCUCGAUGCCAAGACCCUAGGAUCCUGACCUGAGCAGAAGGCAGCCGCCUGAAGCCUUCGAAGCCCGACGUGCACCUCCCUGGGGGCCCUGGGGAGAAACCACCCUCCCGAAUUUUACAUUCAUCGCUGUUAGUUUUUCUUUGUGGUUUUACCAUAAUUGGAUAAAACAUUAAAAGAUUAUUUUGUUGGGUUUUGCCUGUGUUUGACCUUCACACCAAUGGAAGCUCGUGAUCUUUCCGGUAUACCCACUGGGGGAAGGUGGCAUCUUGACCUGGUUUCUAUGUCAUCUCAGGAAUGAGGUGGCCCACUGUAACAGAGGGUGGGGUAGGGGGGCUGUUUUCCAUUUGAAUGGAUUUGGUGCCUUUAAGUCUAAUUGUGUUCAUCUGGUGUGAAAAUGGUGCUUGUGCAGUUAACAGGUGUGGAUUCUGGCAGCAGAGGACCCCAUUCUGAGACCAGCUUCCAUCACCCACAGCUGUGUGGCCUUAGAUGCACUACCAUCUGAGUCCUUGCAUACAUAAAGUGGAGAUAAUGAUUCCCAACUCACAGAAUUGAUGUAAGGAAUAAUUUUUAAAAAG